CAGCCGCCGCGGUAAUACGUAGGGUGCGAGCGUUAAUCUGAUUUACUGGGCGUAAAGCGUGCGCAGGCGGCCCGUUAAGACAGGUGUGAAAUCCCUGGGCUCAACCUAGGAAUUGCGCUUGUGACUGGCGGGCUCGAGUACGGUAGAGGGGGGUGGAAUUCCUGGUGUAGCAGUGAAAUGCGUAGAGAUCAGGAGGAACACCGAUGGCGAAGGCAGCCCCCUGGGCCUGUACUGACGCUCAUGCACGAAAGCGUGGGGAGCAAACAGGAUUAGAUACCCGGGUAGUCAACGCCCUAAACGAUGGGUACUAGCCGUUUGGUGCGCGAUAGCGCUGAGUGGCGAAGCUAACGCGUGAAGUACCCCGCCUGGGGAGUACGGCCGCAAGGUUGAAACUUAAAGGAAUUGGCGGG
RNAcentral lists this ribosomal RNA (410 nucleotides) under uncultured microorganism. RNAcentral describes it as "bacterial SSU rRNA". It matches the Rfam family "Bacterial small subunit ribosomal RNA", at positions 509 to 917 of the family's 1533-position model. The record is from RNAcentral.